Molecule: ribosomal RNA, 270 nt
Filed under: Streptomyces sp.
Lineage: Bacteria; Bacillati; Actinomycetota; Actinomycetes; Kitasatosporales; Streptomycetaceae
Description: partial 16S ribosomal RNA
Rfam family: Bacterial small subunit ribosomal RNA
Source: RNAcentral
CAAAGAGCGCAACCCUUGUCCCGUGUUGCCAGCAGGCCCUUGUGGUGCUGGGGACUCACGGGAGACCGCCGGGGUCAACUCGGAGGAAGGUGGGGACGACGUCAAGUCAUCAUGCCCCUUAUGUCUUGGGCUGCACACGUGCUACAAUGGCCGGUACAAUGAGCUGCGAUACCGCGAGGUGGAGCGAAUCUCAAAAAGCCGGUCUCAGUUCGGAUUGGGGUCUGCAACUCGACCCCAUGAAGUCGGAGUCGCUUAGUAUCCGAAUUGCCG